Triticum aestivum (bread wheat) is the source of this 115-nucleotide non-coding RNA. Lineage: Eukaryota; Viridiplantae; Streptophyta; Magnoliopsida; Poales; Poaceae. The record is from Rfam.
AUACUACUCCCUCCGUCCGAAAAUACUUGUCAUUGAAAUGGAUGUAUCUAGAUGUAUUUUAGUUCUAGACACAUCCAUUUUGAUGACAAGUAAUUUCUGACGGAGGGAGUAUUAU